CAGCAGCCGCGGUAAUACGGAGGGUGCAAGCGUUAAUCGGAAUUACUGGGCGUAAAGCGCACGCAGGCGGUUUGUUAAGUCAGAUGUGAAAUCCCCGGGCUCAACCUGGGAACAGCAUCUGAUACUGGCAAGCUUGAGUCUCGUAGAGGGGGGUAGAAUUCCAGGUGUAGCGGUGAAAUGCGUAGAGAUCUGGAGGAAUACCGGUGGCGAAGGCGGCCCCCUGGACGAAGACUGACGCUCAGGUGCGAAAGCGUGGGGAGCAAACAGGAUUAGAUACCCGAGUAGUCCCUGUCUCUUAUAC
Molecule: ribosomal RNA, 301 nt
Filed under: uncultured bacterium
Lineage: Bacteria
Description: partial 16S ribosomal RNA
Rfam family: Bacterial small subunit ribosomal RNA
Source: RNAcentral